CACACCUGGUCACCCAUUGGUCACACCUGCUAGGAAAGUUUCCAAUCUGCCAAUCGGGUCACACCUGGUCACCCAUUGGUCACACCUGCCAGGAGAGUUUCCAAACUGCCAAUCAGGUCACACCUGGUCACCUGGAUUGAAAAGGUCUUCCCAGGCCUCCUAGUCUGUGUCGCUGCAUAGCAGUCUCAGUUCUUGAGGUAGUUAAGCUCUGAGGCAACUGGAAGGAUGAAUAAGGAGACUUUUUCACAUGUGCCCACAACAAAACACAUCCGUUUUGGUCCAACCUUCACAACGGAAUGUGUCACCCAGGGUCCAGAGCAGCAUAUACAUCUCAGGCCUCUGGUUUAGGCACCCACUGCCUGUUUCUCNACCAAAAUGUUGCCUUCUUGGAUUCAUUUCAAAGGAACACAAUCAUUUCCCACCUACAUGUUUAUUUUUGAAGCGCAUGUGGGCAACGCAUUAGAAGAACAGCUCUUAUCUCUCCUGAGGUAACAACUGCGAGUUCUUGGCAGAAUACUAAUUGGACUCCUCGGCCUGAUAAACCUGGCAUUUAUUAACGUGGUUGGAUAUGGAAGCAAAACUGCCUUCAGCUCCCAUCUCCACAGCCACCCUCUAAUGACAGAAAAUCCAUUUUCUUCUCCACAGUUGUCCAAAACAUCCAAUAAACUGGCCAUCUGCAGCACUGGCCAGUAGCCAGUGGAAUUGGACUUGCAGGCGGUUCUUCCAGCUUGAAACAAUCUUUUAUUUUGAUAUGAGCCAUUUGUUUUUGUUUUUUUGCAUUGAAUCAUAGAACUGUGGAGCUGGAAGGGAGCAUGGGGAUCAUCUAGUCCAGCCCCUUGCAAUGUUUGGGGAAGCAAAUGAAACCACUGUGGAGAAGAGGGCCCUCUGACACCUCCAGGGAUGAAGAACCCACAACCUCUGCUUUCACUCCUGUCCGGAUCAGACGGACUGUACCAACGCGUAGCAGGGCCUCCCUUGGACCAACUUAUGAUGGAAUCCUAUCUGCGUGGACCAGUCCAAUGGUAUGUGCAGAAAGGCCCAAGGAAACCUCAGAGACAAACCACCAGUCCUGGACCACAGAACCAAACCUACAUCCCAAACAGGUAAGAUAACCAGGCGGAGUAGAUGCUG
Molecule: long non-coding RNA, 1131 nt
Filed under: Salvator merianae (Argentine black and white tegu)
Lineage: Eukaryota; Metazoa; Chordata; Lepidosauria; Squamata; Teiidae
Description: lncRNA (ENSSMRG00000003742.1)
Source: RNAcentral